Molecule: unclassified non-coding RNA, 322 nt
Filed under: Hevea brasiliensis (rubber tree)
Lineage: Eukaryota; Viridiplantae; Streptophyta; Magnoliopsida; Malpighiales; Euphorbiaceae
Source: RNAcentral
AAAGAAUAACGUGAUCAAUUUUUUUGCAUAACAUCUUUGUAGUCUUUACCUGAGUUGCUGGUGUCCAUAAUUCUUAUUGGAGUCUUGAUUUCUGCUUUAUUUUUACAUCUGGUAGGAAUGAUGCUAUGCUUCAAAUUCAAAGGGAUCUUCCAUUUGUACUUACUAUACCAUUAUGCAAGGAUAAAAACAUGACACAAUCAUUAAUUAUUCAUGCAUUGUUAAUAUUUUGGGAUAUUACACUGUACUAUAAAUGAUUUAGAUCCUAUUGAUGACCAUAUUUGAGAAAUUAUUGUAGAGCAGAUUUCAUGCUUUUUACUUCUAA